GUGUGUCUCAGACACCUGGACUGUGCACUGAGGCCUGGUGUGGCUGUUGCAGUCUUUGAGGACUGGAGUAAAGCCCCCCGCUUCCAAGUGAGCCUGGAAGAAAGACCCUGAAACCCCCCAGGCAUCAAGGGUCCCACAGUGGAAGCCUAGCAGAAUGACAAACCGGGAAGGAAAGGGCUCGCAAAGGAGUGCUUCCUGUGUCUUUAUUGGAUGGUUUCACUGCAGAGCCUCAGUAAGCCAUGCUGGACAGAGCGCUGGAUGUAGUUUGGGGUGGAUGAAGAACUGGGAGUGGACCUGGAG
RNAcentral lists this long non-coding RNA (300 nucleotides) under Homo sapiens (human). Its description in RNAcentral is "HSALNT0406701". The record is from RNAcentral. Lineage: Eukaryota; Metazoa; Chordata; Mammalia; Primates; Hominidae.